Molecule: small nuclear RNA, 107 nt
Organism: Suncus etruscus (white-toothed pygmy shrew)
Lineage: Eukaryota; Metazoa; Chordata; Mammalia; Eulipotyphla; Soricidae
Source: RefSeq, a predicted model, not a curated record
AUGCUUGCUCCGUCAGCACAUAUACUAAAAUUGGAACGAUACAGAGAAGAUUAGCGUGGCCCCUGUGCAAGGAUGACACUCAAAUCUGAGAAGCAUUCCUUUUUUUA